ACGAACGCUGGCGGCAUGCCUAACACCUGCAAGUCGCACGCGACCUUCGGGUCUAGUGGCGCACGGGUGCGUAACGCGUGGGAACCUGCCCUUAGGUUCGGAAUAACUCCCCGAAAGGGGUGCUAAUACCGGAUAAUGUCUUCGGACCAAAGAUUUAUCGCCUUUGGAUGGGCCCGCGUUGGAUUAGCUAGUUGGUAGGGUAAAAGCCUACCAAGGCGACGAUCCAUAGCUGGUCUGAGAGGAUGAUCAGCCACACUGGGACUGAGACACGGCCCAGACUCCUACGGGAGGCAGCAGUGGGGAAUAUUGGACAAUGGGCGAAAGCCUGAUCCAGCAAUGCCGCGUGAGUGAUGAAGGCCUUAGGGUUGUAAAGCUCUUUUACCCGGGAUGAUAAUGACAGUACCGGGAGAAUAAGCUCCGGCUAACUCCGUG
Molecule: ribosomal RNA, 432 nt
Filed under: uncultured bacterium
Lineage: Bacteria
Description: partial 16S ribosomal RNA
Rfam family: Bacterial small subunit ribosomal RNA
Source: RNAcentral